Molecule: ribosomal RNA, 255 nt
Filed under: uncultured bacterium
Lineage: Bacteria
Description: partial 16S ribosomal RNA
Rfam family: Bacterial small subunit ribosomal RNA
Source: RNAcentral
CGGACGGGUGAGUAAUGUCUGGGAAACUGCCUGAUGGAGGGGGGAUAACUACUGGAAACGGUAGCUAAUACCGCAUAACGUCGCAAGACCAAAGAGGGGGGACCUUCGGGCCUCUUGCCAUCAGAUGUGCCCAGAUGGGAUUAGCUAGUAGGUGGGGUAACGGCUCACCUAGGCGACGAUCCCUAGCUGGUCUGAGAGGAUGACCAGCCACACUGGAACUGAGACACGGUCCAGACUCCUACGGGAGGCAGCAUG